This 85-nucleotide transfer RNA is filed under the name Saccharomyces cerevisiae R008. Its description in RNAcentral is "tRNA-Tyr (GTA) (tRNA-Tyr-GTA-2-1)". It matches the Rfam family "tRNA". Rfam says of the family: Transfer RNA (tRNA) molecules are approximately 80 nucleotides in length. Their secondary structure includes four short double-helical elements and three loops (D, anti-codon, and T loops). The record is from RNAcentral. Lineage: Eukaryota; Fungi; Ascomycota; Saccharomycetes; Saccharomycetales; Saccharomycetaceae.
CUCUCGGUAGCCAAGUUGGUUUAAGGCGCAAGACUGUAAAUCUUGAGAUCGGGCGUUCGACUCGGUUCGACUCGCCCCCGGGAGA